This 73-nucleotide transfer RNA is filed under the name Aequidens metae (yellow acara). RNAcentral describes it as "tRNA-Asp". It matches the Rfam family "tRNA". Rfam says of the family: Transfer RNA (tRNA) molecules are approximately 80 nucleotides in length. Their secondary structure includes four short double-helical elements and three loops (D, anti-codon, and T loops). Further hydrogen bonds mediate the characteristic L-shaped molecular structure. tRNAs have two regions of fundamental functional importance: the anti-codon, which is responsible for specific mRNA codon recognition, and the 3' end, to which the tRNAs corresponding amino acid is attached (by aminoacyl-tRNA synthetases). tRNAs cope with the degeneracy of the genetic code in two manners: having more than one tRNA (with a specific anti-codon) for a particular amino acid; and 'wobble' base-pairing, i.e. permitting non-standard base-pairing at the 3rd anti-codon position. The record is from RNAcentral. Lineage: Eukaryota; Metazoa; Chordata; Actinopteri; Cichliformes; Cichlidae.
AAGACUCUAGUAAAACAGAAAAUCACACUGCCUUGUCAAGGCAGAAUUGUGGGUUAAAACCCCACGUGUCUUG